Molecule: long non-coding RNA, 1142 nt
Filed under: Aquila chrysaetos chrysaetos
Lineage: Eukaryota; Metazoa; Chordata; Aves; Accipitriformes; Accipitridae
Description: lncRNA (ENSACCG00020012410.1)
Source: RNAcentral
UUAUAUUUGAAAAUUCUGUUGCAGUAAGCUGAAUUUUCUGCCUGGAAAAAGGGAAGAAAUCCAAAUGUAAUGAAGUAGCUCAUUGUCAUAAAAUAGAUUGCUGUUGAGUAAAUACUACCUUUGGUAUUUUUUCUAGAGGACCUCUGCAGUGUGCUGAUGAAGAUGAUCAAGUACUUCCAAGUGGGAUGGAGGCUGAUAGUGAUAGAAAUGGGCUGGCUCAUUCUGUGUCAGAGACCUGUGAGAAAUCAGACAAUGCCAUUUCCUUAAUCAAAAUAGUUCCAACCAAAGGGCAAACAUCUGAUUUUCAUCUGGACAACAUAAGGUCAGAGCUAGAAAAUGUUUCUUCAAGUGGAAAGGAUGGAUUUGGUGAUGUGUUACCAAAAAGUGUGUCCACCAGGCGUCGCUAUUCAAAGAUGAGAAAUCACGAAGACCUUUGCACUGGUGUCUUGGACCAUUCAGAAGCACCUGAUCCAACAAAAGAGCUUUCUAAACAGGAUGAAAUUAGACUUGAAGAAAGUCUAGAAAAGCAUACUGUAGAAAACAUAAAUUCAGCUAUUUCUCAGUUGAGCGAAAACAAGGUAGGCUCAGAGCUGGUGUUGAGGCAGAUAGAUUCUGAAACUGCGCAGUUCAACUUAAACAAUAAUUCUGGUCUUAAACAAUGUGUGCAUAAAAGCAGAGAAGACUCUCAAGUAAGGAAAGAGAAGCAUCAGAAGGGAAAACCGGAAUGGCCUAAAAAUACUUCCAGACAAAGACCAAAAAAAAGACAGACUGAAGUGCCUUCCAAAGAAAAGUCUGAUUUCGUGGGUGGCUCCAGUGAUGCUUAUGACUUUCACUUUGAAGAGUGUGUCCAUGUUACACCUUUUCGACAAAAUAAGGUGAAUGACACAGAUAUUGGUGUGGAUGACAAAGAAGACUUAUCCAAAACUAAUACCAUCGAAUCGAGUGAUAUUGAAGAAGAUUCAGAUGAUAGCCUCUAUGAACCUUACAAGAGUAAAUCGAAAAAAAGGAGAAGUUCAGUGGAGAAGAAAGAUACAUCGCCAGUCCAUGCAAGGCCAAGGUCUAAAAGAUGUUUGGCACAGCGUGAGCAGAGACUCCAUAAUGAAAAAGAGACUGAAAGCAAUAAGUCAAGGGACAAGUCUAUU